This 488-nucleotide ribosomal RNA is filed under the name uncultured bacterium. RNAcentral describes it as "bacterial SSU rRNA". It matches the Rfam family "Bacterial small subunit ribosomal RNA", at positions 31 to 507 of the family's 1533-position model. The record is from RNAcentral.
GAACGCUGGCGGCAGGCCUAACACAUGCAAGUCGAGCGGUAACAGAAGAAAGCUUGCUUCUUUGCUGACGAGCGGCGGACGGGUGAGUAAUGCCUGGGAAUAUGCCUUAGUGUCGGGGGAUAACUAUUGGAAACGAUAGCUAAUACCGCAUAACGUCUUCGGACCAAAGAGGGGGACCUUCGGGCCUCUCGCGCUAAGAUUAGCCCAGGUGGGAUUAGCUAGUUGGUGAGGUAAAGGCUCACCAAGGCAACGAUCCCUAGCUGGUCUGAGAGGAUGAUCAGCCACACUGGAACUGAGACACGGUCCAGACUCCUACGGGAGGCAGCAGUGGGGAAUAUUGCACAAUGGGGGAAACCCUGAUGCAGCCAUGCCGCGUGUAUGAAGAAGGCCUUCGGGUUGUAAAGUACUUUCAGUCGUGAGGAAGGCAUUGUAGUUAAUAGCUGCAGUGCUUGACGUUAGCGACAGAAGAAGCACCGGCUAACUCCGUG